This 395-nucleotide ribosomal RNA is filed under the name uncultured bacterium. Its description in RNAcentral is "bacterial SSU rRNA". It matches the Rfam family "Bacterial small subunit ribosomal RNA", at positions 505 to 898 of the family's 1533-position model. The record is from RNAcentral.
GUGUCAGCCGCCGCGGUAACACGUAGGGCGCAAGCGUUGUCCGGAAUUAUUGGGCGUAAAGAGCUCGUAGGCGGCCUGUCGCGUCUGCUGUGAAAUCCCGGGGCUUAACCCCGGGCGUGCAGUGGAUACGGGCAGGCUGGAGGCAGGCAGGGGAGAACGGAAUUCCCGGUGUAGCGGUGAAAUGCGCAGAUAUCGGGAGGAACACCGGUGGCGAAGGCGGUUCUCUGGGCCUGUACUGACGCUGAGGAGCGAAAGCGUGGGGAGCGAACAGGAUUAGAUACCCUGGUAGUCCACGCCGUAAACGUUGGGCGCUAGGUGUGGGUCCCUUCCACGGGGUCUGUGCCGCAGCUAACGCAUUAAGCGCCCCGCCUGGGGAGUACGGCCGCAAGGCUAAA